This 406-nucleotide ribosomal RNA is filed under the name uncultured bacterium. Its description in RNAcentral is "partial 16S ribosomal RNA". It matches the Rfam family "Bacterial small subunit ribosomal RNA", at positions 29 to 526 of the family's 1533-position model. The record is from RNAcentral.
AUUGAACGCUGGCGGCAGGCCUAACACAUGCAAGUCGAACGAGUGGCGGACGGGUGAGUAAUGUCUGGGAAACUGCCCGAGGGAGGGGGAUAACUACUGGAAACGGUAGCUAAUACCGCAUACCAUCGGAUGUGCCCAGGUGGGAUGAGCUAGUGGGUGGGGUAACGGCUGACCUAGGCGACGAACCCUAGCUGGUCUGAGAGGAUGACCAGUCACACUGGAACUGAGACACGGUCCAGACUCCUACGGGAGGCAGCAGUGGGGAAUAUUGGACAAUGGGCGCAAGCCUGAUGCAGCCAUGCCGCGUGUGUGAAGAAGGCCUUCGGGUUGUAAAGUACUUUCAGCGGGGAGGCGUUACUCGCAGAAGAAGCACCGGCUAACUCCGUGCCAGCCGCCGCGGUAAUAC